RNAcentral lists this ribosomal RNA (328 nucleotides) under Echinaster sepositus. RNAcentral describes it as "SSU rRNA". It matches the Rfam family "Eukaryotic small subunit ribosomal RNA", at positions 1492 to 1803 of the family's 1831-position model. The record is from RNAcentral. Lineage: Eukaryota; Metazoa; Echinodermata; Asteroidea; Spinulosida; Echinasteridae.
UUAGAUGUCCGGGGCCGCACGCGCGUUACACUGGAGGGAUCAGCGGGUUUUAUYUCGGCCCUCGGCCGGAAGGUCCGGGCAAUCCGCUGAACCCCCUCCGUGCUCGGGACAGGGAGUUGCAAUUGUCUCCCUCCAACGAGGAAUUCCCAGUAAGCGCGAGUCAUCAGCUCGCGUUGAUUACGUCCCUGCCCUUUGUACACACCGCCCGUCGCUACUACCGAUCGAACGGUUUAGUGAGAUCCUCGGACGGGCCGCGGCGGGGCAGAGUCACAUUUGCCUCGCGCGCGCCGCCCCGGAAGACGAUCGAACUUGAUCGUUUAGAGGAAUU